Molecule: transfer RNA, 74 nt
Filed under: Candidatus Moraniibacteriota bacterium
Lineage: Bacteria; Candidatus Moraniibacteriota
Description: tRNA-Cys
Rfam family: tRNA
About the family: Transfer RNA (tRNA) molecules are approximately 80 nucleotides in length. Their secondary structure includes four short double-helical elements and three loops (D, anti-codon, and T loops). Further hydrogen bonds mediate the characteristic L-shaped molecular structure. tRNAs have two regions of fundamental functional importance: the anti-codon, which is responsible for specific mRNA codon recognition, and the 3' end, to which the tRNAs corresponding amino acid is attached (by aminoacyl-tRNA synthetases). tRNAs cope with the degeneracy of the genetic code in two manners: having more than one tRNA (with a specific anti-codon) for a particular amino acid; and 'wobble' base-pairing, i.e. permitting non-standard base-pairing at the 3rd anti-codon position.
Source: RNAcentral
GGUCCGAUGGCCGAGGGGUUAGGCAAAGGUCUGCAAAACCUUGUACAGCGGUUCAACUCCGCUUCGGACCUCAA